Populus nigra (black poplar) is the source of this 869-nucleotide long non-coding RNA. RefSeq lists it as uncharacterized. NCBI's taxonomy places the organism in Eukaryota, Viridiplantae, Streptophyta, Magnoliopsida, Malpighiales, Salicaceae. The transcript has 3 exons. The record is from RefSeq and is a predicted model, not a curated record.
UUUCACCAUUCAUUGAGUCUCAAAAUCUUACAAAAGAAACUUUACAGUUAGAAACUAUACUGAUCGACCUCUUCAGGUAUAUAGAAGAAAGAUAGAGCCUGGCCAUACUUUCUUGCAAGCUCAAAAAUCCAAACCAGAUCAAGCAAUAUGAUGUAAAUAAUGCUUUCUUGCAUGGAGAGUUGGAAGAAGAGGUUUUUACAGAUCCACCACCAAGAUUCAAUCACUCCCUUCUUCCCAACCAAGUCUGCAGGCUAAAGAAGGUGAUGAUCUUAUGGAAAGACAUAUAUCGAGAAAGAGACUUUUUGUAAUAUCUCGUAUCGACAUGUGAGGACUUGGAGGAGGGCCUUAUAUGAGCAUGCUCACCUUGACUAGUAAGACGCGUUUUGGGACCAUGCGUGGCUGCCAAUAACAAAUCUGUAAGGCCUGUGGGCCAAAAUGGAUAAUAUCUUGCUAGUGGGGUAGGGUGUUACAGUUUGGUAUCAGAGCUCAGCUUAUUGGCUGUUCGGUAGUGCUAACAGGGUCGUCGGGCUUCUUAGGGGGAGUGAAUUGUAAUAUCUCACAUCGGCAGGUAAGGACUUGAGGGAGAGCCUUAUAUGAGCAUGCUCACCUUGACUACUAAGACGUGUUUUGGAGCCAUGCGUGGCUGCCAAGAACAAAUCCUUGAGGCCCGUGGGCCAAAGCGGACAAUAUCUUACUAGUGGGGUGGGGUGUUACAGCUAACUGUAACAACUUGUUCUGUUAUAAACAACUUGUCCACUCAAUGAUAUUUGGCCUAUAUCUAGAGUUCUAUAACUCCAAUUGAGGCAAGGCCAGUUCUAAAUGUUAGCUAACUCAUUCCUCUACAACUUUUAUAUGAAAAGUUACAACAA